This 264-nucleotide ribosomal RNA is filed under the name uncultured bacterium. RNAcentral's name for it is "partial 16S ribosomal RNA". It matches the Rfam family "Bacterial small subunit ribosomal RNA", at positions 29 to 289 of the family's 1533-position model. The record is from RNAcentral.
AUGAACGCUGGCGGCGUGCUUAACACAUGCAAGUCGAACGAUUAAAGCUCACUUCGGUGAGUGUAUAGAGAGGCGAACGGGUGAGUAACACGUGGGAAACCUGCCCCUUUCUUCGGGAUAACUUCGGGAAACCGUUGCUAAUACCGGAUACUCCGGGAUGGUCGCAUGGCCGACCCGGGAAAGCUUUAUGUGGAAAGGGAUGGUCCCGCGGCCCAUUAGCUUGUUGGUGGGGUAAUGGCCUACCAAGGCGAUGAUGGGUAGCCG